GACAGAGGGUGCAAACGUUGCUCGGAAUUACUGGGCGUAAAGCGCGUGUAGGUGGUUACGCGAGUCGGGUGUGAAAGCCCGGGGCUCAACCCCGGAAGUGGCAUUCGAUACUACGUAGCUGGAGUCUUGAAGAGGAGAGCGGAAUUCCCGGUGUAGAGGUGAAAUUCGUAGAUAUCGGGAGGAACACCAGUGGCGAAGGCGGCUCUCUGGGCAAUGACUGACACUGAGACGCGAAAGCCGUGGGUAGCAAACAGG
Molecule: ribosomal RNA, 255 nt
Filed under: uncultured bacterium
Lineage: Bacteria
Description: partial 16S ribosomal RNA
Rfam family: Bacterial small subunit ribosomal RNA
Source: RNAcentral